This is a non-coding RNA of Paramuricea clavata, 837 nucleotides long. Lineage: Eukaryota; Metazoa; Cnidaria; Anthozoa; Malacalcyonacea; Plexauridae. The record is from the annotation of a GenBank genome assembly.
GGUGCGAAACGCGGACAAAAAAUGAACAGGGGAUGAAAGAAAGUCACCAAACUUUUAAGGUGUCCACCUUGAUUAGGCUUGUUUACAAAACAUUGUAGCAUUCCAUGGCGAUAGGAGUACUAAGUAUUCGUUUUUGUAUUUUUUUGUUUCUCUGUGGCUUAUUCCUAUUGUUUUUUUCCUGACGGGCGCCAGUAUUUCGUGUUACCAAAUUGGAUGUUUCUUUUCAUUUUUUACAAGUUCAAGUAAAUUUGAUAAUUUUAUAAUUUUUCAUUGUUGGGCACGGAUAUGUGGUUGCAUUCCCUGUACAAGUGUAUGAUUUAAAUACUUAGGCAGAUCGAGAAAUGACAUAUUUUAAAAGCAAGUGUGUGCAUCUAGGUCAUCAGCCAAUCAAUUACUGAAUGAGGUUAAGCAAGAUAUGACGUACGAAUUAUCAAGUCGGACGUUAUCAACCGAAGCCGCGAAGGCUAAGUUAAUAACACAAACUGAGGACUUCAUAUUUCUUCAUAUCUCGCGGAAACUAAAUUCAAUAAAUGUUUCAUUAUUUAUUAAAAGAUCAAUGAAAACACAUCAGCACCUGUAGAUUCAAUCCAUCGAAAUAAUGACCAGUUCUUCUCCCAUAUGCAGAAAAUCUUUCCUUUCUUCUUUCUUUUGAUAUUCAUUUUUUAUAUUUUACAGUCAAAUCCGGUGUUCUGUUGCGGGCAACAUUGCAAUAUUGUCACGCAUUAUUGAUCGGCUGAUUGCUCUAGCAAAUUGUAACCGACGCGAAGUCGUGAACAAAUUGUAAUUUUUACGUCCAGUAACAGUAUUGAACCAUUAACUGCAAAAUUCAAACGUUCA